UCUCAGCGAUUGUGGCCAAUUUUGAAGUAAAGAGAAUCUUGGUUGACAACGGGAGUGCGGCCAAUAUACUUUCACAAGAAGCUUUUGCCAAAAUGGGAAUCUCAUCUCAGCAGCUCAAAGCAGUUAAAACUCCUCUCCAGGGGUUUGGGGGAGGAGUCAUCACUCCAGAGGGUGUCGUCGAGCUUCCUCUAACUUUGGGUUCUGGCCAGAAACAGGUUACGGAGAUGACAUCUUUUCAAGUGGUA
This 245-nucleotide long non-coding RNA is filed under the name Olea europaea (common olive). RNAcentral describes it as "long non-coding RNA (OEUR_LNC011497)". The record is from RNAcentral. Lineage: Eukaryota; Viridiplantae; Streptophyta; Magnoliopsida; Lamiales; Oleaceae.